This 660-nucleotide ribosomal RNA is filed under the name Nocardiopsis sp. HM-1-17. RNAcentral's name for it is "bacterial SSU rRNA". It matches the Rfam family "Bacterial small subunit ribosomal RNA", at positions 100 to 763 of the family's 1533-position model. The record is from RNAcentral. Lineage: Bacteria; Bacillati; Actinomycetota; Actinomycetes; Streptosporangiales; Nocardiopsidaceae.
GAACGGGUGAGUAACACGUGAGCAACCUGCCCCUGACUCCGGGAUAAGCGGUGGAAACGCCGUCUAAUACCGGAUAUGACACACCAUCUCCUGGUGGUGUGUGGAAAGUUUUGUCGGUCAGGGAUGGGCUCGCGGCCUAUCAGCUAGUUGGUGGGGUAAAGGCCUACCAAGGCGAUUACGGGUAGCCGGCCUGAGAGGGCGACCGGCCACACUGGGACUGAGACACGGCCCAGACUCCUGCGGGAGGCAGCAGUGGGGAAUAUUGCACAAUGGGCGAAAGCCUGAUGCAGCGACGCCGCGUGGGGGAUGACGGCCUUCGGGUUGUAAACCUCUUUUACCACCAACGCAGGCCCCGGGUUCUCUCGGGGUUGACGGUAGGUGGGGAAUAAGGACCGGCUAACUACGUGCCAGCAGCCGCGGUAAUACGUAGGGUCCGAGCGUUGUCCGGAAUUAUUGGGCGUAAAGAGCUCGUAGGCGGCGUGUCGCGUCUGCUGUGAAAGACCGGGGCUUAACCCCGGUUCUGCAGUGGAUACGGGCAUGCUAGAGGUAGGUAGGGGAGACUGGAAUUCCUGGUGUAGCGGUGAAAUGCGCAGAUAUCAGGAGGAACACCGGUGGCGAAGGCGGGUCUCUGGGCCUUACCUGACCUGAGACGAAAACUGG